Molecule: ribosomal RNA, 272 nt
Filed under: uncultured Oscillospiraceae bacterium
Lineage: Bacteria; Bacillati; Bacillota; Clostridia; Eubacteriales; Oscillospiraceae
Description: partial 16S ribosomal RNA
Rfam family: Bacterial small subunit ribosomal RNA
Source: RNAcentral
AAAGAGCUUGCUCUUUUCAGAAUUGAGUGGCAAACGGGUGAGUAACACGUAAACAACCUGCCUUCAGGAUGGGGACAACAGACGGAAACGACUGCUAAUACCGCAUAAGCCCACGGUGCCGCAUGGCACAGAGGGAAAAGGAGCAAUCCGCUUUGAGAUGGCCUCGCGUCCGAUUAGCUAGUUGGUGAGGUAACGGCCCACCAAGGCGACGAUCGGUAGCCGGACUGAGAGGUUGAACGGCCACAUUGGGACUGAGACACGGCCCAGACUCC